Ictalurus punctatus (channel catfish) is the source of this 298-nucleotide long non-coding RNA. RefSeq lists it as uncharacterized. NCBI's taxonomy places the organism in Eukaryota, Metazoa, Chordata, Actinopteri, Siluriformes, Ictaluridae. The transcript is spliced from 2 exons. The record is from RefSeq and is a predicted model, not a curated record.
UUCUCUAUUCUGAUUGGCAGGAAGUUUUUUGUUCUAAUACUCGUUUCUAUAGUAACAACUUACCUUAUGUGGUGGAGGCUCCACAUAAGCAGUUUUUUUAUGUAUAAGCGUUUGUAACUGAUAAAGUGAGGUUGUCUGUGAGGAGAUGUUUAUUUAGUAUUUUUGGAAGGAGUCUCCAGUGUCAGCACUUUGUAUCAGUCAGAGCUUCGUAAUCCGAGCUGUCCAUGAGAGUCACCUUGAAGGGGACAGUCUUCAAACGCUUGGACGACUUCUGCGGCGAUUUGGGACUCUUGCCUGG